UACGGAGGGUGCGAGCGUUGCUCGGAAUCAUUGGGCGUAAAGCGCACGUAGGCGGUCUGUUAUGUCGGAUGUGAAAGCCCUUGGCUCAACUGAGGAAGUGCAUCCGAAACUGGCAGGCUAGAGUACUAAAGAGGAUCGCGGAAUUCCCGGUGUAGAGGUGAAAUUCGUAGAUAUCGGGAGGAACACCGGUGGCGAAGGCGGCGAUCUGGGUAGAUACUGACGCUGAGGUGCGAAAGCGUGGGGAGCAAACAGG
RNAcentral lists this ribosomal RNA (253 nucleotides) under uncultured bacterium. Its description in RNAcentral is "partial 16S ribosomal RNA". It matches the Rfam family "Bacterial small subunit ribosomal RNA", at positions 524 to 776 of the family's 1533-position model. The record is from RNAcentral.